RNAcentral lists this small nuclear RNA (153 nucleotides) under Mustela putorius furo (domestic ferret). RNAcentral's name for it is "U4 spliceosomal RNA". It matches the Rfam family "U4 spliceosomal RNA". Rfam says of the family: U4 small nuclear RNA (U4 snRNA) is a component of the major U2-dependent spliceosome. The record is from Rfam by way of RNAcentral. Lineage: Eukaryota; Metazoa; Chordata; Mammalia; Carnivora; Mustelidae.
AGCUUUGCGCAGUGGCAGUAUCGUAGCCAAUGAGGUUUAUCCGAGGCGCGAUUAUUGCUAAUUCAAAACAUAGCAGAUAUAAAAAUAAGGGUUUAAGGGCACCUGGGUACCUCAGUUGGUUAAGCACCCAAUUCUUGAUUUAGGCUUGGGUCA